RNAcentral lists this ribosomal RNA (512 nucleotides) under uncultured bacterium. Its description in RNAcentral is "partial 16S ribosomal RNA". It matches the Rfam family "Bacterial small subunit ribosomal RNA", at positions 28 to 507 of the family's 1533-position model. The record is from RNAcentral.
GAUGAACGCUGGCGGCGUGCCUAAUACAUGCAAGUCGAACGAAACUUCUUUAUCACCGAGUGCUUGCACUCACCGAUAAAGAGUUGAGUGGCGAACGGGUGAGUAACACGUGGGCAACCUGCCCAAAAGAGGGGGAUAACACUUGGAAACAGGUGCUAAUACCGCAUAACCAUAGUUACCGCAUGGUAACUAUGUAAAAGGUGGCUAUACUACCGCUUUUGGAUGGGCCCGCGGCGCAUUAGCUAGUUGGUAGGGUAAAGGCUUACCAAGGCAAUGAUGCAUAGCCGAAUUGAGAGGUUGAUCGGCCACAUUGGGACUGAGACACGGCCCAAACUCCUACGGGAGGCAGCAGUAGGGAAUCUUCCACAAUGGGCGAAAGCCUGAUGGAGCAACGCCGCGUGGGUGAAGAAGGUCUUCGGAUCGUAAAACCCUGUUGUUAGAGAAGAAAGUGCGUGAGAGUAACUGUUCACGUUUCGACGGUAUCUAACCAGAAAGCCACGGCUAACUACGUG